Molecule: ribosomal RNA, 130 nt
Filed under: Rindera tetraspis
Lineage: Eukaryota; Viridiplantae; Streptophyta; Magnoliopsida; Boraginales; Boraginaceae
Description: 5.8S ribosomal RNA
Rfam family: 5.8S ribosomal RNA (bases 1-89)
About the family: 5.8S ribosomal RNA (5.8S rRNA) is a component of the large subunit of the eukaryotic ribosome. It is transcribed by RNA polymerase I as part of the 45S precursor that also contains 18S and 28S rRNA.
Source: RNAcentral
UGAAUUGCAGAAUCCCGUGAACCAUCGAGUCUUUGAACGCAAGUUGCGCCUGAAGCCAUUAGGCUGAGGGCACGUCUGCCUGGGCGUCACGCAUCGCGUCACCCCUCCCCCAAUUCUGGUGGGAGGGGUG